UUAAUUAAAACCAAAAUAGAGGUAAAUUAUUGUUAAUAAUUUUAUUGAAUAUUUAUUAUUCUAAUUAAU
Molecule: transfer RNA, 69 nt
Filed under: Pheidole obscurithorax
Lineage: Eukaryota; Metazoa; Arthropoda; Insecta; Hymenoptera; Formicidae
Description: tRNA-Asn
Source: RNAcentral